RNAcentral lists this ribosomal RNA (467 nucleotides) under uncultured bacterium. Its description in RNAcentral is "partial 16S ribosomal RNA". It matches the Rfam family "Bacterial small subunit ribosomal RNA", at positions 28 to 507 of the family's 1533-position model. The record is from RNAcentral.
GACGAACGCUGGCGGCGUGCUUAACACAUGCAAGUCGAACGGAAAGGCCUCUUUCGGGGGGUACUCGAGUGGCGAACGGGUGAGUAACACGUGAGUAACCUGCCCUUGACUUUGGGAUAACUUCAGGAAACUGGGGCUAAUACCGGAUAGGAGCUCCUGCUGCAUGGUGGGGGUUGGAAAGUUUCGGCGGUUGGGGAUGGACUCGCGGCUUAUCAGCUUGUUGGUGGGGUAGUGGCUUACCAAGGCUUUGACGGGUAGCCGGCCUGAGAGGGUGACCGGCAACAUUGGGACUGAGAUACGGCCCAGACUCCUACGGGAGGCAGCAGUGGGGAAUAUUGCACAAUGGGUGGAAGCCUGAUGCAGCAACGCCGUGGGCGGGAGGACGGCCUUCGGGUUGGAAACCGCUUUCGCUCAUGACGAAGCUUUGUGUGACGGUAGUGGGUAAAGAAGCACCGGCUAACUACGUG